RNAcentral lists this microRNA (23 nucleotides) under Caenorhabditis elegans. RNAcentral's name for it is "cel-miR-60-3p". Its record names the gene cel-miR-60-3p. Lineage: Eukaryota; Metazoa; Nematoda; Chromadorea; Rhabditida; Rhabditidae. The record is from miRBase by way of RNAcentral.
UAUUAUGCACAUUUUCUAGUUCA